GACGAACGCUGGCGGCGUGCCUAAUACAUGCAAGUCGAACGCACUCUCGUUUAGAUUGAAGGAGCUUGCUCCUGAUUGAUAAACAUUUGAGUGAGUGGCGGACGGGUGAGUAACACGUGGGUAACCUGCCCUAAAGUGGGGGAUAACAUUUGGAAACAGAUGCUAAUACCGCAUAAAACCUAACACCGCAUGGGUGUAGGGGUUGAAAGAUGGUUUCGGCUAUCACUUUAGGAUGGACCCGCGGUGCAUUAGUUAGUUGGGUUGAGGGUUAAAGGGCUCACCAAGACCGUGAUGCAUAGCCGACCUGAGAGGGUAAUCGGCCACACUGGGACUGAGACACGGCCCAGGACUCCUACGGGAGGCA
This 364-nucleotide ribosomal RNA is filed under the name uncultured bacterium. RNAcentral's name for it is "bacterial SSU rRNA". It matches the Rfam family "Bacterial small subunit ribosomal RNA", at positions 28 to 350 of the family's 1533-position model. The record is from RNAcentral.